RNAcentral lists this transfer RNA (73 nucleotides) under Candidatus Parcubacteria bacterium. RNAcentral's name for it is "tRNA-Pro". It matches the Rfam family "tRNA". From Rfam's summary of the family: Transfer RNA (tRNA) molecules are approximately 80 nucleotides in length. Lineage: Bacteria; Candidatus Parcubacteria. The record is from RNAcentral.
CGGGAGCUGGUGGAAUGGCUAACACGCAGGCUUCGGGUGCCUGAGACUAGGGGUUCAAGUCCCCUGCUCCCGA